UGGUUGGUCAUCGUCAUUGUCAGCCUCACU
Molecule: non-coding RNA, 30 nt
Filed under: Rattus norvegicus (Norway rat)
Lineage: Eukaryota; Metazoa; Chordata; Mammalia; Rodentia; Muridae
Source: RNAcentral